Molecule: ribosomal RNA, 417 nt
Filed under: uncultured beta proteobacterium
Lineage: Bacteria; Pseudomonadati; Pseudomonadota; Betaproteobacteria
Description: bacterial SSU rRNA
Rfam family: Bacterial small subunit ribosomal RNA
Source: RNAcentral
GAGUUUGAUCAUGGCUCAGAUUGAACGCUGGCGGCAUGCCUUACACAUGCAAGUCGAGCGGCAGCGCGGGGGCAACCCUGGCGGCGAGCGGCGAACGGGUGAGUAAUACAUCGGAACGUGUCCAGUAGCGGGGGAUAACCUCUCGAAAGAGAGGCUAAUACCGCAUACGACCUACGGGUGAAAGCGGGGGACCGCAAGGCCUCGCACUAUUGGAGCGGCCGAUGUCGGAUUAGCUAGUUGGCGGGGUAAAAGCCCACCAAGGCGACGAUCCGUAGCUGGUCUGAGAGGACGAUCAGCCACACUGGAACUGAGACACGGUCCAGACUCCUACGGGAGGCAGCAGUGGGGAAUUUUGGACAAUGGGGGCAACCCUGAUCCAGCCAUGCCGCGUGAGUGAAGAAGGCCUUCGGUUGUAAG